AACGAACGCUGGCGGCAUGCCUAACACAUGCAAGUCGAACGGGAUCCUGGCUUCGGUCAGGUGAGAGUGGCGGACGGGUGAGUAACGCGUGGGAACCUGCCCAGUGGUGGGGGAUAACUGCGGGAAACUGCAGCUAAUACCGCAUCGAGCCCGAGAGGGGAAAGAUUUAUCGCCAUUGGAGGGGCCCGCGUUCGAUUAGGUAGUUGGUGAGGUAACGGCUCACCAAGCCGACGAUCGAUAGCUGGUCUGAGAGGAUGAUCAGCCACACUGGGACUGAGAUACGGCCCAGACUCCUACGGGAGGCAGCAGUGGGAAUAUUGGACAAUGGGGGCAACCCUGAUCCAGCAAUGCCGCGUGAGUGAUGAAGGCCUUCGGGUU
Molecule: ribosomal RNA, 378 nt
Filed under: uncultured bacterium
Lineage: Bacteria
Description: bacterial SSU rRNA
Rfam family: Bacterial small subunit ribosomal RNA
Source: RNAcentral